CAUUAAGAAGCUAUGAAUCAGCACUAGCCUUUUAAGCUAGAGAAAGAGGAAAAAUUUUCUCCUCCUUAAUGA
RNAcentral lists this transfer RNA (72 nucleotides) under Trogon melanurus (black-tailed trogon). RNAcentral describes it as "tRNA-Lys". The record is from RNAcentral. Lineage: Eukaryota; Metazoa; Chordata; Aves; Trogoniformes; Trogonidae.